CGCACGGGUGCAUAACGCGUGGGAAUCUGCCCCUGGGUUCGGAAUAACAGCGAGAAAUUGCUGCUAAUACCGGAUGAUGACGAAAGUCCAAAGAUUUAUCGCCCAGGGAUGAGCCCGCGUAGGAUUAGCUAGUUGGUGAGGUAAGAGCUCACCAAGGCGACGAUCCUUAGCUGGUCUGAGAGGAUGAUCAGCCACACUGGGACUGAGACACGGCCCAGACUCCUACGGGAGGCAGCAGCU
RNAcentral lists this ribosomal RNA (240 nucleotides) under uncultured Sphingomonas sp. RNAcentral describes it as "partial 16S ribosomal RNA". It matches the Rfam family "Bacterial small subunit ribosomal RNA", at positions 99 to 355 of the family's 1533-position model. The record is from RNAcentral. Lineage: Bacteria; Pseudomonadati; Pseudomonadota; Alphaproteobacteria; Sphingomonadales; Sphingomonadaceae.